RNAcentral lists this long non-coding RNA (403 nucleotides) under Ricinus communis (castor bean). Its description in RNAcentral is "long non-coding RNA (RCOM_LNC002502)". The record is from RNAcentral. Lineage: Eukaryota; Viridiplantae; Streptophyta; Magnoliopsida; Malpighiales; Euphorbiaceae.
GCGAACUAAAAUUUACAGUAAGAGUAUCCAAAGCCUUAUUUGAUGAUUCAUUUAGGGUCUGUUUAACCAGACAAUGGCGAACUAAAUCAAUUAUCAAUUACUUAACCAGACACCUCCAUGUGUAUUCAUAUGGCUUCAAAUCCUACAAUAUCCCCCGUGAUAAUAAACAAUGAAAUUUAUAAGAUUUAAACCCAAAUAAGAAAAGUAACAGUAAAGUUCGAUCUGGAUACUAAAACACUCAACUGUGAAGAAGAAAAAGAAGAAGAAUAGGAAGGAAAUAAGUAACAGUAGCAUGAGCAGUAAAAGAAGAAGAGGAGAGCGUUAGUUAAAACUAUAAGUAGAUGAGAGAAGAGUCUCUGUGAGCAGCAGAAGAUGCUCUAAUGGCUUUGGCAGUAAAUUCANN